Molecule: transfer RNA, 63 nt
Filed under: Marmosa demerarae (long-furred woolly mouse opossum)
Lineage: Eukaryota; Metazoa; Chordata; Mammalia; Didelphimorphia; Didelphidae
Description: Micoureus demerarae (long-furred woolly mouse opossum) tRNA-Lys
Source: RNAcentral
UAUUUUUAAGCAAUUCUAAUAUACUUGACAGUAUAAUGAGAUGUAAUAUUCUCCUUAAAUAGU